RNAcentral lists this long non-coding RNA (234 nucleotides) under Elaeis guineensis (African oil palm). RNAcentral describes it as "long non-coding RNA (EGUI_LNC012327)". The record is from RNAcentral. Lineage: Eukaryota; Viridiplantae; Streptophyta; Magnoliopsida; Arecales; Arecaceae.
UAGCCUGGAUGAUGUGGCGAUUAUCUAGAACGGCACAACAUGCUGUGAGGAUAAAAGGUGGACUACAGGAGAUUCCGAGUAUGGACGUAAAUAGGUCGAAUCGGACUAGAUCAUGAGGGACCUCGACUCGACCUGAUUCUUUGAUCGGGCCUAAUGUUAGAUCCAAACCUAAUUCAAUAGAAGAUCGGGUUAGCUUUAUGGAUGAAAAUUUUGUCUCCAUGAAUCAUUUGGUUC